This is a long non-coding RNA of Alligator mississippiensis (American alligator), 858 nucleotides long. RefSeq lists it as uncharacterized. Lineage: Eukaryota; Metazoa; Chordata; Crocodylia; Alligatoridae. The record is from RefSeq and is a predicted model, not a curated record. The transcript has 3 exons.
UGGCCGAGACUGGAGCCUUUCAUCAAACUCGGAGGAGUCUCUUCCUGGUUCAACGUGACUCCCAGCCAGCGACGUGGGCAAGGGCAGGGUUCUGCUGAGCACUGGCUCUGAGUCACUUAGAUCCGGAGCACUACCCCCCUACCAGGAAGCAGAUCAAUGGGUCAUUCAUCUCUCAUUUCCUCUUCUCUGGAGGCACCUGCCCCAUGAAGCUGGCUACUGGCUAUUUAACCUGUUCUCUCCUUUGCACGUCCCUACCCAUGCCCCCAGGAGCUUCUCCAGUCUUCUCCCCUCUCUGCUUGCAGCCGGCCAGCAUCAGGCCAGAGAACUAUUUGCAUUCCCAGGGUUACAGCACUGCCAGUUUCCUCCUGAUCUCGCCUGCAUGCUAGAUGUGCUGCCGACACAUAAAGAUGCCUCUAAGAGCAGCAGUAAGGCCUCCAAAAUUACUGAACAGAAUGGAUCUGCUUUAAGAGCAUGUGUUUCGCAUAUGUCUCUGUAUUCAAAGACAUUCUGUGACCUCUCUCCUGCCAAAAAAUGUUUCUAAACCGCAGCUAUUUUUUGGAUGCAACGUGGUUAAGAGCACAAGGUGGCAUCACAUAUCCUCAGACAGGCAUUGAGGAACAGCAUCUCCAACCGAAAUUGUUUAAUGGAAGCAGGAUGCAACUACCUGAGCUGGAAUUUCUCUCAGACACUGUGUUUUUGGAAUCAGAUGUCCUGGAUUCAGGAUGUCCUGGAUUCUUCCCUUGCUGUCCUGUGUAACGAAUAUAACCGUGUUAGCUGACGGGCCCAGAAUCUUUUUAAUUGCUCUGCUGCUGCCUACCAUGGCCCUGUUCUGUGAAUAAUAAAAGGGAGUUCAUUCUC